This 497-nucleotide ribosomal RNA is filed under the name uncultured bacterium. Its description in RNAcentral is "partial 16S ribosomal RNA". It matches the Rfam family "Bacterial small subunit ribosomal RNA", at positions 28 to 507 of the family's 1533-position model. The record is from RNAcentral.
GACGAACGCUGGCGGCGUGCCUAAUACAUGCAAGUUGAGCGCUGAAGGUUUGUACUUGUACCGACUGGAUGAGCAGCGAACGGGUGAGUAACGCGUGUGGAAUCUGCUUUUGUGUGGGGGACAUCAUUGGGAAACGAAUGCUUAUACCGCAUAAAAACUUUAAACACAAUUUUUAAUUUUGAAAGAUGCAAUUGCAUCACUCAAAGAUGAUUCCUCGUUGUAUUAGUUAGGUGGUGAGGUAAAGGCUCACCAAGGCGGUGAUACAUAGCCGCCCUGAGAGGGUGAUCGGCCGCAUUGGGACGGAGACAGGGCACAAAGGGCUUGGGGAGGGAGCAGUAGGGAAUCUUCGGCAAUGGACGAAAGUCUGACCGAGCAACGCCGAGUGAGUGAAGAAGAUUUUCGGAUCGUAAAACUCUGUUGGUAGAGAAGAAAGUUGGUGAGAGUGGAAAGAUCAUCAAGUGACGGUAACUAGCCAGAAAGGGACGGCUAACUACGUG